UGAAGCUGGAAUCGCUAGUAAUCGCAGAUCAGAAUGCUGCGGUGAAUACGUUCCCGGGUCUUGUACACACCGCCCGUCACACCAUGGGAGCCGGAAAUGCCCGAAGCCAGUGACCCAACCUUAGGGAGGGAGCUGUCGAAGGUGGAGCCGGUAACUGGGGGUGAAGUCGUAACAAGGUACC
This 181-nucleotide ribosomal RNA is filed under the name uncultured bacterium. Its description in RNAcentral is "partial 16S ribosomal RNA". It matches the Rfam family "Bacterial small subunit ribosomal RNA", at positions 1321 to 1500 of the family's 1533-position model. The record is from RNAcentral.